RNAcentral lists this ribosomal RNA (102 nucleotides) under Pteropus alecto (black flying fox). Lineage: Eukaryota; Metazoa; Chordata; Mammalia; Chiroptera; Pteropodidae. The record is from RNAcentral.
GUCUACGGCCAUGCUACCCUGAACAAGCCCGAUCCCAUCUGACCUCAGAAGCUAAGCAGGGUCAGGCCUGGUUAGUACUUGGAAGACCGGGUGCUGUAGGAG